AUUUUUCCAGGUGGAUGCAAGCACCUAGACAGAAAUCCUGAGCCAGUGAAGCUGCCAGGUUGCAUGGCUUGUUACAAACAAAAUAUUCAGGUCAUUUCACUCUUACAUUCAUAAACGCAGGCCCUCUUUCUAACAAAUCUUGGACUGAACUAAUUCUUGGUGAGACUAUUUUGUGAUUAUGCUUGGUGGAAAGAUGCUAAUUUUUUUUGUCCUUAGGAGUAAGAGAAGACAAUCUGUAUGCAGAAAUAAUGAAAAUAAUCCUAAAAAAAAGAUGGAAAAAAGAAAACUUGUUUUGACUGGCACUCUGAUUUUCCCAUGACUACUGUAAAUUUGAUACAGUGGAAUCUUAAUCAAGAUGCCUUGGCAGAAGGCCUUUUGUAUCUCUUAAGAAUACUUGGUUAACCAAAGACAUUGCUUGAAUAAUAAUUUCCUUGGGAAGAUACUGCGCCCAUCAAAUGGUUGAGAGGUUCUCAAGCCCCUGUGUACAAACUGCAAUGCUGAAAAAUACUUGGUCAUCUGGAUCCUUUGUAAGCAGCGAGCUGCAGGUGCCUGUGUUUGGGCAAAAUUGUGUCAUCAAGAGUGGCUGUGAGACCCUGUCGUAGUGACUGAGGUGUGCACUGAGCCCCAGCUUAGUGCUGAGAUGCAGGAGUGAGCACUGGACAGGCUAUUCACUGGACAGUGAUGGAAACACUCAUCAAGUGACCAGAGGAAAUGAACUGGUGAAUUACAGAGAUACUAAGGCCUUGUGGGUUGCAAGUGUGUCAUGAGACUGUGCACUUGAUGUACGAAGCAGUUGUCUGUAUUUCAUAAUGGUCACUGAGAACAUAAAUUUGAUUAGAAUUCAUUCUUUUGCCAUAAAAAAUUAUGAUAUUGUAGCAGUAAACAAUAGUCACAAGACAGUUUUCCAUUAAAAACACCUCUUCUUGGCUAAAAUUCAGCAACUGGCAUGUGCCAAAGACUUUCUUGUCCUAAUGAAUCAAGAAGCGCUCAGAAUCCUACAAAACAGUUUUCUCCCAUCAGAAGAAGAUCAUAAUAUCAUCCUCAACACAUUUACUUUCCGCAAGUUUGAUCUGUUGUGCCUCAGCUCCAUCCCAUCUAGAUACACAUCAGUCACCAAACAAAGAAAGGAAAACAACAUCUCAUUCUGUUUGUCUUCAGUAUCACCACUGUGGAUUUCCUGA
This is a long non-coding RNA of Numida meleagris (helmeted guineafowl), 1181 nucleotides long. NCBI's taxonomy places the organism in Eukaryota, Metazoa, Chordata, Aves, Galliformes, Numididae. The record is from Ensembl.